Molecule: transfer RNA, 73 nt
Filed under: Bos taurus (domestic cattle)
Lineage: Eukaryota; Metazoa; Chordata; Mammalia; Artiodactyla; Bovidae
Also listed under: 2 other names
Rfam family: tRNA
About the family: Transfer RNA (tRNA) molecules are approximately 80 nucleotides in length. Their secondary structure includes four short double-helical elements and three loops (D, anti-codon, and T loops). Further hydrogen bonds mediate the characteristic L-shaped molecular structure. tRNAs have two regions of fundamental functional importance: the anti-codon, which is responsible for specific mRNA codon recognition, and the 3' end, to which the tRNAs corresponding amino acid is attached (by aminoacyl-tRNA synthetases). tRNAs cope with the degeneracy of the genetic code in two manners: having more than one tRNA (with a specific anti-codon) for a particular amino acid; and 'wobble' base-pairing, i.e. permitting non-standard base-pairing at the 3rd anti-codon position.
Source: Rfam by way of RNAcentral
UCCUUGGUGGUCCAAUGGUUAAGACUCUGAGUUCUCAACGCAGAGGGCACAGGUUCGAUCCCUGGUCAGGAAA